Molecule: ribosomal RNA, 506 nt
Filed under: uncultured bacterium
Lineage: Bacteria
Description: partial 16S ribosomal RNA
Rfam family: Bacterial small subunit ribosomal RNA
Source: RNAcentral
AGUGAACGCUGGCGGUAGGCCUAACACAUGCAAGUCGAACGGCAGCACAGGAGGGCUUGCUCUCUGGGUGGCGAGUGGCGGACGGGUGAGGAAUACAUCGGAAUCUACUCUGUCGUGGGGGAUAACGUAGGAAAACUUACGCUAAUACCGCGUACGACCUACGGGUGAAAGCAGGGGACCUUCGGGCCUUGCGCGAUUGAAUGAGCCGAUGUCGGAUUAGCUAGUUGGCGGGGUAAAGGCCCACCAAGGCGACGAUCCGUAGCUGGUCUGAGAGGAUGAUCAGCCACACUGGAACUGAGACACGGUCCAGACUCCUACGGGGGGCAGCGGUGGGGAAUAUUGGACAAUGGGCGCAAGCCUGAUCCAGCCAUACCACGUGGGUGAAGAAGGCCUUCGGGUUGUAAAGCCCUUUUGUUGGGAAAGAAAUCCAGCUGGCUAAUACCCGGUUGGGAUGACGGUACCCAAAGAAUAAGCACCGGCUAACUUCGUGCCAGCCGCCGCCGUAA